ACGCUGGCGGCGUGCCUAACACAUGCAAGUCGAACGGAGCUUUGAGAGCUUGCUCUUAAAGCUUAGUGGCGAACGGGUGAGUAACGCGUGAGCAACCUGCCUUUCAGAGGGGGACAACAGUUGGAAACGAUGAUUAAAACCUCAUAAUGCCAGACUGAGACAUCUCUAACUGGCCAAAGAUUUAUCGGCAAAGGAUGGGCCUGCGUCUGAUUAGCUAGUUGGUGGGGUAACGGCCUACCAAGGCGACGAUCAGUAGCCGGUCUGAGAGGUUGAACGGCCACAUUGGAACUGAGAUACGGUCCAGACUCCUACGGGAGGCAGCAGUGGGGAAUAUUGGGCAAUGGGCGAAAGCCUGACCCAGCGACGCCGCGUGAGGGAAGAAGAUCUUCGGAUUGUAAACCUUAGUCAACAGGGAAGAAGAAAGUGACGGUACCUGUGGAGGAAGCCACGGCUAACUACGUG
RNAcentral lists this ribosomal RNA (462 nucleotides) under uncultured bacterium. RNAcentral describes it as "bacterial SSU rRNA". It matches the Rfam family "Bacterial small subunit ribosomal RNA", at positions 33 to 507 of the family's 1533-position model. The record is from RNAcentral.